RNAcentral lists this ribosomal RNA (256 nucleotides) under uncultured bacterium. RNAcentral's name for it is "partial 16S ribosomal RNA". It matches the Rfam family "Bacterial small subunit ribosomal RNA", at positions 524 to 776 of the family's 1533-position model. The record is from RNAcentral.
UACGUAGGGUGCAAGCGUUUGUCCGGAAUUAUUGGGCGUAAAGAGCUCGUAGGCGGUUUGUUGCGUCGGCUGUGAAAUCCCGAGGCUCAACCUCGGGUCUGCGAGUCGAUACGAGCAAACUAGAGUGUUGCAGGGGAGACUGGAAUUCCUGGUGAUAGCGGUGAAAUGCGCAGAUAUCAGGAGGAACACCGGUGGCGAAGGCGGCGUUCUGGACUGCAACUGACACUGAUGAACGAAAGCCAGGGGAGCAAACGGG